Molecule: unclassified non-coding RNA, 1136 nt
Filed under: Yarrowia lipolytica
Lineage: Eukaryota; Fungi; Ascomycota; Dipodascomycetes; Dipodascales
Source: RNAcentral
CUGUUGAGACUGAUUAAAAUCGUGUGUGAAGAACGCAUGAGCUAGUAACUAAGACGUGAAGCUGAGCGUAAGCUACGAAGCUGCCGAGUGAAAGGAAACCCCUCAGUACAUGCACUAAGAGGACGCAGGGUGUUGACGAGUUGGAGGCUUAGCAAGCCUCUCAUGAAUCCUGUCUCCGUGGAUAUGAAGCUGUGACGGACACGGAACAUUGUCCAUGAGCUCUCCUAAGGUAUGGGUAGCUCCCUAGGGUGCAAUUCCCUGCAUGGGUAAUAACUCCUGAAUGCUUUGGAAGGAUGGACUGUCGUUUGAACAGUCAUGUCUCCUCCAUCUGCUGUUGGCUUGGUAUCAGCACACCAGGAAUCACGGUUAAGAGAACAGCUGACCCACGAUCCGAACCUGAUCCAGCUUGUUCCGCCUGAGCAUAAGCGUCUGCAAAGACCGCCACCGAGCAAAGUGUUUGUGCCCAACCUGCCAGACCGCCAGAGCAAAGAGCCAUUCCGAGCCGCAAUGGGCCAGAACUAGAGCCGCCGACCGACAAAUCCCGACAGCAGAACACUAAGACAACGCUGAAAAGCCGCCUGGAGCUGCACGAUGGUGAAAUUCCACCAGCCACCAGAGCAGGAGACGUUGAAACGACUGAAACACGUUGAGUUAUGCCAGCAAGUGAAACUGUGAAACGACAAGUUAUGCCUGCACUUGAUUCUGUGAAACGAUGACGUUAUCGCUGAGGUGAAACUGUGAACUUCGAGAGCAGAAGGCCAGCACCUUGAGAACAUGUGCCAGAGCGAAAGAGCCAAAGCCAUGAUGAUAAGCCAGUGAGUGCCAAUGAGCCCAUAAGAACUAAGUGUUUCUUGCCAAAGAGAGCCAGAGCCAUUGAGCCAGAGCCUAGAAGAGCAACAAGAAGAUGUGAUGAGAGCCACUGCGCCAGAUGAUCAUCCAAGAGCCAGUAAGAGCCAUUCGAGCAGUCGGAGAUCCAACGAUCAGAUUCGCAUUCAGAAAGGAUGUAGGCAGUCGAACCUCGACAUGAGGAUGUAGACGAGACCGAACCUUUUAGUCUAUAGAAAAGAGGAUGUAAGCAAUGAGCUGAACCUCUGGGGUUAAUACAUUAUGGACCAUGAAGUCCCACCCAAAUCAUC